RNAcentral lists this ribosomal RNA (545 nucleotides) under Triticum aestivum (bread wheat). RNAcentral describes it as "partial small subunit ribosomal RNA". The record is from RNAcentral. Lineage: Eukaryota; Viridiplantae; Streptophyta; Magnoliopsida; Poales; Poaceae.
UCCAAUAUGUUUGCAUUACUGGUUUAAAAAAUAUGAUAUGCUCAUCUUUUUAUUGGGUUGUGUGCAUGAUCAAGAGAAGCCGAGAGAGCAAUAAUUUCUUGCUUUUCGGAAGAAAAACUGCAAGCAAGAGCAAUGACGAACAAUUUCUCAAAUACUUCCCAUGGAGCCUUUCAUUACAUUAAUUCUGCAGAGUUCAUAAUUGACACAAACAGUUUAUUUAGGUAUUGGCUUUAGUUUUUCUGAUGGCUAAGGACAGAUCAUGCAGUUAUCUCCUCUUAUGACUACUUCUGCUGCCUUCUAAAAAUCUGAAUGACGAGCCAAUCUGCCACGGAGAGGAAAUCUACUGUCCAUGUUCACAUGAAAGGGCAGCCCAUACAGCAGCAGAACAGCAGCUGCUGCUCCGCAUAGGCUCAGCAAGACUCCAUUCCCAUGUGUUAUGAUAUUGUUGAGUGGACAUGAUUUUGUUGUGUUACUGUUUACCAUGGAGUACAUAUUUAAUACCUGCCAAUGUAUUAGGUGCAUUUGAUGGAUCUUAGGUAACGAAA